CCUACGGGAGGCAGCAGUGGGGGAUAUUGCACAAUGGGGGAAACCCUGAUGCAGCGACGCCGCGUGGGUGAAGAAGCGCCUCGGCGCGUAAAGCCCUGUCAACCGGGAAGAAAAUGACGGUACCUGAAGCAGAAGCCCCGGCUAAAUACGUGCCAGCAGCCGCGGUAAUACGUAGGGGGCCAGCGGUAUCAGGAUUUACUGGGUGGAAAGGGGGCGCAGACGGCGAUGCAAGCCAGGUGUGAAAGCCCGGGGCCCAACCCCGGGACUGCUCUUGGAACUGCGUGGCUAGAGUGCAGGAGGGGCAGGCGGAAUUCCUGGUGUAGCGGUGAAAUGCGUAGAUAUCAGGAGGAACACCGGUGGCGAAGGCGGCUUGCUGGACUGCAACUGACGUUGAGGCCCGAAAGCGUGGGGAGCAAACAGGAUUAGAUACCCCUGUAGUC
This 440-nucleotide ribosomal RNA is filed under the name uncultured bacterium. Its description in RNAcentral is "partial 16S ribosomal RNA". It matches the Rfam family "Bacterial small subunit ribosomal RNA", at positions 338 to 795 of the family's 1533-position model. The record is from RNAcentral.